AACGAACGCUGGCGGCAUGCCUAACACAUGCAAGUCGAACGAGACCUUCGGGUCUAGUGGCGCACGGGUGCGUAACGCGUGGGAACCUGCCCUUAGGUUCGGAAUAACUCCCCGAAAGGGGUGCUAAUACCGGAUAAUGUCUUCGGACCAAAGAUUUAUCGCCUUUGGAUGGGCCCGCGUUGGAUUAGCUAGUUGGUAGGGUAAAAGCCUACCAAGGCGACGAUCCAUAGCUGGUCUGAGAGGAUGAUCAGCCACACUGGGACUGAGACACGGCCCAGACUACUACGGGAGGCAGCAGUGGGGAAUAUUGGACAAUGGGCGAAAGCCUGAUCCAGCAAAGCCGCGUGAGUGAUGAAGGCCUUAGGGUUGUAAAGCUCUUUUACCCGGGAUGAUAAUGACAGUACCGGGAGAAUAAGCUCCGGCUAACUCCGUG
Molecule: ribosomal RNA, 433 nt
Filed under: uncultured bacterium
Lineage: Bacteria
Description: partial 16S ribosomal RNA
Rfam family: Bacterial small subunit ribosomal RNA
Source: RNAcentral